CGUAGGGUGCAAGCGUUAAUCGGAAUUACUGGGCGUAAAGCGUGCGCAGGCGGUUUUGUAAGUCUGAUGUGAAAUCCCCGGGCUCAACCUGGGAAUUGCAUUGGAGACUGCAAGGCUAGAAUCUGGGCAGAGGGGGGUAGAAUUCCACGUGUAGCAGUGAAAUGCGUAGAUAUGUGGAGGAACACCGAUGGCGAAGGCAGCCCCCUGGGUCAAGAUUGACGCUCAUGCACGAAAGCGUGGGGAGCAAACAGGAUUAGAUACCCUGGUAGUCCACGCCCUAAACGAUGUCUACUAGUUGUCGGGUCUUAAUUGACUUGGUAACGCAGCUAACGCGUGAAGUAGACCGCCUGGGGAGUACGGUCGCAAGAUUA
RNAcentral lists this ribosomal RNA (371 nucleotides) under uncultured organism. Its description in RNAcentral is "bacterial SSU rRNA". It matches the Rfam family "Bacterial small subunit ribosomal RNA", at positions 526 to 896 of the family's 1533-position model. The record is from RNAcentral.